ACGACCGGCGCACGGGUGAGUAACGCGUAUGCAACCUACCCGUAGCUGAGGGAUAGCCCGGAGAAAUUCGGAUUAAUACCUCAUAAUACUACUGAAUCACAUGGUUCGGUUUUUAAAGUUCCGGCGGCUACGGAUGGGCAUGCGUGACAUUAGUUUGUUGGUGAGGUAACGGCUCACCAAGACUGCGAUGUCUAGGGGGUCUUAAAGGAUGAUCCCCCACACUGGUACUGAGACACGGACCAG
This 243-nucleotide ribosomal RNA is filed under the name uncultured bacterium. Its description in RNAcentral is "partial 16S ribosomal RNA". It matches the Rfam family "Bacterial small subunit ribosomal RNA", at positions 91 to 334 of the family's 1533-position model. The record is from RNAcentral.